This 840-nucleotide long non-coding RNA is filed under the name Vigna radiata. Its description in RNAcentral is "long non-coding RNA (VRAD_LNC014696)". Lineage: Eukaryota; Viridiplantae; Streptophyta; Magnoliopsida; Fabales; Fabaceae. The record is from RNAcentral.
AAAAUGAGAAAAAUUAAAAAAAAUUGUGAAUAAUGGAGUCAAGAAGAGGAUUGAAUUAGAGGUUUUGGGUGUGAUUUGACUAUGUUUACACUUGUUCCCCAUUGCUCCUCUAUUCCUUUUGGUUUGUAGCUUCUGAUUCAUAUUAUAUCCUCCUUUGUCCUUGGCCCCAUUACAUCCCUAAAAGACCUUUUGAUUUGAACAUGCAUAUGUUUUGAGUGUUGAUAUUAGAGGCUUGCCAAAUCUGUUUGUGUUUGCUUUCUUGAGUGCAUUGAGUUGACAUUGUUUACCAUAGACACUUGAGAGAAACAGUGAUAGUGUGCAUUUGUGAUAGUCUGCAUUACUCGUAUCAUCCGGUGUAGGAGCUGACCCAUAUUCUUCUUGUUCAAACAUUAAAAGUAAUGUUAGGGAAUGAUACAAUAACAUAAUGAAAGAUUACUAAUAGUAGCAAUCUUAUUUGCUUACAUGAGUCUUCUGAGAUAUUUCAUCAACAAAUUCAUUAGUGCCCUUCCGAACAUGGGUCUGUGCAAAGAUCUCAUCAACAUGGACCGCCCGUCCUAGAGCUUGUGCCUGUAACAUAAUUUAGAGUUAGAAGUUAUAUAUGAAAGAAACAGAAAAGUAAAGAAAGUUUACCAUACGAAUGGCAUGCUCAUGGACCGUGAUCGACCCACCAGUAUGCAGGGCGCCACCCGUUUCAGACGCUCUGUUCCUCUGGGCUGUAGCACACUUGUUGCGAAACUCUGCUGAAUUCCAAUGAGCAAGCAAGGAGUUCCAAAUGAUCUCGCCCAACCAGUAAGGGCGCUCCCCUGCAAGUCGGGCAUCCCUAAACAUGUUUGAGAGUCG